This is a long non-coding RNA of Aedes albopictus (Asian tiger mosquito), 790 nucleotides long. RefSeq lists it as uncharacterized. The record is from RefSeq and is a predicted model, not a curated record. The transcript is spliced from 2 exons. Lineage: Eukaryota; Metazoa; Arthropoda; Insecta; Diptera; Culicidae.
GUGUGACACUCUAAUCUUUUUGGAAUCACUUUUAAAGAUUCGAAAUGAUUCAAAAAGAUUCGAAAAGAUUCGGCGUGAUUCAAGAAAAAAGCAGGCCUGAAAGUAAUAUCAAAAUAAUUAUAACUUUUAGUUCAGUGUUUGUUUUGAUCUGGAAAGCGCGAAGGAAAAAGCUCUUCGUUUUCCUCUCUUGUUAUGAAAUAAAAUAAAGGUAAUUAAUAUUUAUGCAUUAUUGCUAAUUACAAUUAACUAAAAUAACUGUAUUUCCCAACAGUGGCGACAAGUGAAGAAGGAUGAUGAACUCCAACAUACCUCAUAGUAAGUACUUACUGAGAUGCCCAAAAAACCCUAGGUGAGGAUAAUGUUUGUUCUAGGAAGAGGCCAUCGACCCCGUGGAGGCCGCGCAUUCGGUGACUUAAGUUAUAACUUCUAGCAGAAAAAAAGUGCCAACUAAUGAUGAAUAAUAAGGAAAUUUCGGAAAUUUAUUCUGUCCAAGGACGCUGUUGAGUGCCGCGUCAAGCGGAAAGCGAGCCCUAAAUCAGCUAAUAUCGAGUUUUAGGGAUGAAUGGGGGGGCCGGUUACAUUGCAAAUUUUGAGUACACAUCAAAUGAAGGUUAGACCAUCAUUUCCCACAGUUCCAGGAGAUUACGCAAGAUCAACUCUUUCGUUUCUACGUAUUGCCGCAUCCAGAUCUCCUUCUAUGAGCAAAUUGCGAAAAUUGCUUAACAUAUAAUUAUUUAAUAUAUUUGAUGUAUUAUACCUAUUGCUGAUUCAUAAUAAAUAUUGCGGGGGA